AUUAACCUGACACUAGCCCUAGUAACCGACACCUUAAUGGCCCUAUUACUACUAAUAAUUACAUUUUGGCUCCCACAACUUAACAUUUAUAUAGAAAAAUAUAGCCUCUAUGAAUGCGGAUUUGACCCAAUAACCUCCACCCACCUCCCCUUUUCCAUAAAAUUUUUCCUAGUAGCCAUCACAUUUCUCCUCUUUGACUUAGAAAUCGCUCUACUACUGCUCCUACCAUGAGCCCAUCAAACAACCUGACACUAACAAUCAGCACAGCCCUUCUACUAGUUAUCAUUUUAAUCCUAGGCUUAACUUAUGAAUGAACCCAAAAAGGAUUAGACUGAGUUGAA
Molecule: long non-coding RNA, 341 nt
Filed under: Homo sapiens (human)
Lineage: Eukaryota; Metazoa; Chordata; Mammalia; Primates; Hominidae
Description: non-protein coding lnc-RALB-5:1
Source: RNAcentral